UGUUGAGCGCAGGCAGCGCCCGGGAAGCCUCGGCCGUCGCCUGCCUGGGUGCUCCCGCGGAUGGGGCUGGACGGGGCCGCCCUCCCUGCAACGACGCCCCGUCGGUGCCCCGAGUCCGCAACCUCGGUGGGCGGCAGCCCGGAACAUCCUCGCUUUUGAUCCGGAGAGCCCCUCGGCAACAAGAGCCCAAGUUACCAACUUUGAAAACUUUAGAGGCGCUGGAGCUCAGCGCGUUUCUUUCGCGGGGCUCCCUGAAAGCCGCUGAGAUUUUAAAACCUUGAGUGUGCGGAGGCUACAGAUCCCGGCUUUUCCCAGGUGGUCCUCGACUUAACAACGGUAGCGAGAAAGCAGAGACUGGUUUUUCUCACGGCACGUAUGCCAAGAAGACUCAGCAAAAUGAAGAAGAAGAAAGGACUGGAAAAUCUAUCCUGCUGGAGGAUGAUAACUUCCGGGGCAAACAAAUAUGCAUGAAUAAUAUAUCCCGCUUUUUUGGAAUCUUUGCCUUUUAGAGACAGAUUGCAAAAAUGAGGCCAUUCUCAGCACCCCCAAAAAUGUGCAGAAGAAAUCACUUCCUGCUUCCUCCCCAGUAACCGUCAUUGUUCGGUGCUUUUAAAAUCUAAAGCCAGGCUGCGUUUUUUGCAGAUCGUGACUGUCUGAGAUCUACAUUUCAAACCUAUUUUCCUCGCAAACAUCAGCUAGGAAGAAGAUCACACAUUACGCUGCAGAACUAUUUAUAGAGCUUGGAAAGUUAGUUGCCUCUUACCACAUGCAGCCCUUUGCUGGAAGCUCGGCUCGCCACCGUUCAAUUGUGCCAGAGUCGGCGCCUCGAACGCCUGCCUGCGAAGACGGCUGCAAAAAAAAAAAAAAAUGAAAAGAGAAAGAAGGCUGGGUGGGGUUGGGGAUUUUGACUAUUCAUGCUUCUGAACGCAGCACUUUCUGCUCUCUUUGCAUAAGUCUCUUUUGUGGCUUGAGCAUGUGAUCCAAUUUGCUAAGUUGCUAUGCAACCAUCAGUCCUCUCUUGGCUGGAUCUAACAGAAUUGGUCAGGCCGAAGUCAAGGUCAUUCAUGCCUAGAAGAUUUGAAGUGGGACUGGAAUUCCCGUGAAGAGGA
Molecule: long non-coding RNA, 1109 nt
Organism: Thamnophis elegans (Western terrestrial garter snake)
Lineage: Eukaryota; Metazoa; Chordata; Lepidosauria; Squamata; Natricidae
Exons: 3
Source: RefSeq, a predicted model, not a curated record